GACGAACGCUGGCGGCGUGCCUAAUACAUGCAAGUCGAGCGGACCUUUCGGGGUCAGCGGCGGACGGGUGAGUAACACGUGGGCAAUCUGCCCGAUACUCUGGGAUAACGCUUGGAAACGAGUGCUAAUACCGGAUGGUCUUCUUGGCCGCAUGGCCGAGAAGGAAAAGACGCGUUCGCGUCGGUGUCGGAUGAGCCCGCGGCGCAUUAGCUAGUUGGUGAGGUAACGGCCCACCAAGGCGACGAUGCGUAGCCGACCUGAGAGGGUGACCGGCCACACUGGGACUGAGACACGGCCCAGACUCCUACGGGAGGCAGCAGUAGGGAAUCUUCCACAAUGGGCGAAAGCCUGAUGGAGCAACGCCGCGUGAGUGAUGAAGGCCUUCGGGUUGUAAAACUCUGUCAUUCGGGACGAACCGGAGUCUGAGGAAAUGCAGACUCUCUGACGGUACCGGAGGAGGAAGCCCCGGCUAACUACGUGCCAGCCGCCGCCGUAACAC
RNAcentral lists this ribosomal RNA (499 nucleotides) under uncultured bacterium. RNAcentral describes it as "bacterial SSU rRNA". It matches the Rfam family "Bacterial small subunit ribosomal RNA", at positions 28 to 526 of the family's 1533-position model. The record is from RNAcentral.